AACGAACGCUGGCGGCGCGCCUAAUACAUGCAAGUCGAGCGAGAAGACGUAGCAAUACGUUUGUAAAGCGGCGAACGGGUGAGGAAUACAUGGGUAACCUACCCUCGAGUGGGGAAUAACUAGCCGAAAGGUUAGCUAAUACCGCGUACGCUCCUUGGACUUCGGUUCAGGGAGGAAAGCGAUACCGUGGGUAUCGCGCUCUUGGAUGGGCUCAUGUCCUAUCAGCUUGUUGGUGAGGAACGGCUCACCAAGGCUUCGACGGGUAGCUGGUCUGAGAGGACGAUCAGCCACACUGGCACUGCGACACGGGCCAGACUCCUACGGGAGGCAGCAGUAAGGAAUAUUGCGCAAUGGGCGAAAGCCUGACGCAGCGACGCCGCGUGGGGGAUGAAGGUCUUCGGAUUGUAAACCCCUUUCGGGAGGGAAGAU
RNAcentral lists this ribosomal RNA (429 nucleotides) under uncultured bacterium. RNAcentral's name for it is "bacterial SSU rRNA". It matches the Rfam family "Bacterial small subunit ribosomal RNA", at positions 29 to 449 of the family's 1533-position model. The record is from RNAcentral.